GGGAAACGGGACAAGGGGCCAGCCCCAGGCCCCUCUAAACAAUGGGGCA
This is a regulatory RNA element of Chlorocebus sabaeus (green monkey), 49 nucleotides long. NCBI's taxonomy places the organism in Eukaryota, Metazoa, Chordata, Mammalia, Primates, Cercopithecidae. The record is from Rfam.